Molecule: ribosomal RNA, 1321 nt
Filed under: Escherichia coli
Lineage: Bacteria; Pseudomonadati; Pseudomonadota; Gammaproteobacteria; Enterobacterales; Enterobacteriaceae
Description: partial 23S ribosomal RNA
Rfam family: Bacterial large subunit ribosomal RNA
Source: RNAcentral
GGAAAGGCGCGCGAUACAGGGUGACAGCCCCGUACACAAAAAUGCACAUAUUGUGAGCUCGAUGAGUAGGGCGGGACACGUGGUAUCCUGUCUGAAUAUGGGGGGACCAUCCUCCAAGGCUAAAUACUCCUGACUGACCGAUAGUGAACCAGUACCGUGAGGGAAAGGCGAAAAGAACCCCGGCGAGGGGAGUGAAAAAGAACCUGAAACCGUGUACGUACAAGCAGUGGGAGCCUCUUAAUGGGGUGACUGCGUACCUUUUGUAUAAUGGGUCAGCGACUUAUAUUCUGUAGCAAGGUUAACCGAAUAGGGGAGCCGAAGGGAAACCGAGUCUUAACUGGGCGUUAAGUUGCAGGGUAUAGACCCGAAACCCGGUGAUCUAGCCAUGGGCAGGUUGAAGGUUGGGUAACACUAACUGGAGGACCGAACCGACUAAUGUUGAAAAAUUAGCGGAUGACUUGUGGCUGGGGGUGAAAGGCCAAUCAAACCGGGAGAUAGCUGGUUCUCCCCGAAAGCUAUUUAGGUAGCGCCUCGUGAAUUCAUCUCCGGGGGUAGAGCACUGUUUCGGCAAGGGGGUCAUCCCGACUUACCAACCCGAUGCAAACUGCGAAUACCGGAGAAUGUUAUCACGGGAGACACACGGCGGGUGCUAACGUCCGUCGUGAAGAGGGAAACAACCCAGACCGCCAGCUAAGGUCCCAAAGUCAUGGUUAAGUGGGAAACGAUGUGGGAAGGCCCAGACAGCCAGGAUGUUGGCUUAGAAGCAGCCAUCAUUUAAAGAAAGCGUAAUAGCUCACUGGUCGAGUCGGCCUGCGCGGAAGAUGUAACGGGGCUAAACCAUGCACCGAAGCUGCGGCAGCGACGCUUAUGCGUUGUUGGGUAGGGGAGCGUUCUGUAAGCCUGUGAAGGUGGCCUGUGAGGGUUGCUGGAGGUAUCAGAAGUGCGAAUGCUGACAUAAGUAACGAUAAAGCGGGUGAAAAGCCCGCUCGCCGGAAGACCAAGGGUUCCUGUCCAACGUUAAUCGGGGCAGGGUGAGUCGACCCCUAAGGCGAGGCCGAAAGGCGUAGUCGAUGGGAAACAGGUUAAUAUUCCUGUACUUGGUGUUACUGCGAAGGGGGGACGGAGAAGGCUAUGUUGGCCGGGCGACGGUUGUCCCGGUUUAAGCGUGUAGGCUGGUUUUCCAGGCAAAUCCGGAAAAUCAAGGCUGAGGCGUGAUGACGAGGCACUACGGUGCUGAAGCGACAAAUGCCCUGCUUCCAGGAAAAGCCUCUAAGCAUCAGGUAACAUCAAAUCGUACCCCAAACCGACACAGGUGGUCAGG